GUCUACAACUAUGCCCCCCUGAACGUGAUUGAUCUUGUCUGAUCUCGAAAAAGCUAAGCAGGGUCGGGCCUGGUUAGUACUUGGAUGGGAGACCACCUAGGAAGACCAGGUGCUGUAGGCA
This 121-nucleotide ribosomal RNA is filed under the name Pteropus alecto (black flying fox). The record is from RNAcentral. Lineage: Eukaryota; Metazoa; Chordata; Mammalia; Chiroptera; Pteropodidae.